This is a non-coding RNA of Neofelis nebulosa (Clouded leopard), 1489 nucleotides long. The record is from the annotation of a RefSeq genome assembly. NCBI's taxonomy places the organism in Eukaryota, Metazoa, Chordata, Mammalia, Carnivora, Felidae.
CUGUGCUCCAUAGUCCAUGUCGAAUCAAAGAUUGCUAUUAUUAGUGGUGUUUUUAUUGCACCAAAGCUCUUCCGUAUUUUCAGCACCCUGACCGUUGGGGGUUCCUCUCCCCAUUUUGUGGUCAGACCUGUCCCUGCCCUCUGGCUCCACCCUCCAGCCUCUCUCUCUCUGUCUCUCACCAGCAGGUGCCUCAGGGAUGCAGAGCUCAGAGCCUAACCUGCCCUCUGCCACCCAUCCAGUCAGUCUCCGUCCAGCAGGUGCAUCUGGGAGGUCACCCUGGGCUUCUCUCCACCAGCGGGGAAGCAGAACCAUGCUGGGUCCCCUCGCCUUCCUGUGUGCCCUCCUGUAUCCCGGUGGCGUGGCAGCGAUCAGUGUGGAGCAGCCAGCCGUGGUGGUGGCGCGUGCAGGCAGGUGGGCCACGCUGCCCUGCAAAACCAGCACCUCGGUCAGCUACAUCCACUGGUACCGCCACCAGCAGGGUACAGCCCCCAAGAGGAUCCUCAUGCUGGAUAUGUCCAGCUCACAUGUGACCAGAGAUGGUGUCUUGACAGCGGACAAGGUCCACGCCAAGAAAGGCAAGGAUAGCACAAGCUCUAACCUGUUGCUGCUGAAGCUGGCGAAGAGCGAUGAGGGCGUGUAUUACUGUGCUGUUUGGGAAGAGCAGAGCACAGCCUUACGGGAAGCUCAGAGCUGUGCCGGACUGACGAUUCAAGAUUCUGACCAUCUCCAAUGAAGAAUGUGGGAAUAAAAUACCAUGCAAAUAAUUUCAAGGCCGAGAGACUCUCUGGGGAUUCCACACAAAAUGGGUGCAAGCCGAGACUGGAAGGCAGCUCCUGACUCCAGUUUCUAAGUUGUCACCCCGCCCACCGCUGGUUCCUGUGCAGAGAGAGAGAGACUCCUUGAUCAGAAGCCCAGGCAACAGUGUGGCUGACUUUGUAGCACCCUCACCCAUGCCUGGCGCUCACUCUCCUGCGGGGGGAAAUGAUCCUCAGGGCAGGUGCAUGCAUCAGCCCUGGAUGAGACCCCGGGCCCUCCACCUUCCCCUUUUCCUUGAAAGUGACUCCAUAUGGGAUUUGGGGACCAGCUUCCCUGGACCUCUGUUCUCUCCUCUGUAAAGUGAGGAGGUUUAACUGCUACAAUGUGUGACUGAUUUGUGUAUUAAAGCAAAAUUAUACCAAAAAUAUAUCACUAUGUUCACUAACUUCUUAUAAAGUUAGUCAACUUCUUGACCAAAAGAAAAAAAAAAGAAAAAAGAAAGAAAAGAAAUUAAAGACAAGAAAAGCUAUUUUACUAAUUCCCUAGCCAUAAACAGGAGAGGCCCUGCUGUGUGGAGGGAAGAUAAAACUCUCUGAGGAGGUCUAAGCUGAAUUAAGUGCAUUUUCAACUGAAAAUUCCAGUUUUACGUACAACUUAAUAGCAUUGGCAAAAAUAAUUAAUGAAAGGGAAGUCUAAAUGAUCGGAAGUAAAUUGGUUUCUCGGAUUUGCUAAA